CUAAAGCAUCAAAGGUUAUAUUUUGAAGGUUUUUGGAUGUCUUCACUUGUCUCGUUAAAAGAUUAAGUUCAGAUUUGAAGAGGUGGACUUCAUUUUUUAAAUAUUUAUUUUCGCAAGUCAUGAACUCCAAUUUCGACAAAAUUAUCCUGAAUGGUAAUCCUCUAAUCUCCUUUGAAAGUAGCAAGCUCUCAUCGUAUUCAUCUAACUCAUAAGAUAUCGCUGGUUUAUCUUCGUACUCUUGGUAUUGUGGAGUUUAGCAAGAAUAUUUCAGCAAGCUCGCCUUUCUAUCCUCAUGAUGAGAUUAUACUU
This 309-nucleotide long non-coding RNA is filed under the name Olea europaea (common olive). Its description in RNAcentral is "long non-coding RNA (OEUR_LNC008714)". The record is from RNAcentral. Lineage: Eukaryota; Viridiplantae; Streptophyta; Magnoliopsida; Lamiales; Oleaceae.